RNAcentral lists this long non-coding RNA (263 nucleotides) under Salvia miltiorrhiza (redroot sage). Its description in RNAcentral is "long non-coding RNA (SMIL_LNC000186)". Lineage: Eukaryota; Viridiplantae; Streptophyta; Magnoliopsida; Lamiales; Lamiaceae. The record is from RNAcentral.
UGUGAUGCAUUUAUCUAGAAUAUUCUAAGAGAGAAUAAGCUAUGUAUAAUCUAGAGAAUUCACCACUAGCUAGAUUACUCUAGAGUAUUCUAAAUAAUACCUAGGAGAAGUAUGAGUAUUCUAGAAAUUAGAUAUUUAAAAUAGAGUAUCUAGAGAAUUUCUUAUGUAGAUACUAGUAGAGAAUUCUAGAUACAAACUAAUGUAGUGGGAUUUAGAGAGAUCUUCCCACACCUAUAAAUAGAGCUCUUGUGAGCCAUUUGUAA